AGAAAAAUUCAAAAAUAACAUUCAUCAAAAAUUGAGAAACUUGAAACAAACAUUGAGCAUCAUGGAUUCAUCAAACCUUACAUCACUUCCAGAAGAAGGCUCAGAAGAAACCCAUCACCCUUCUGCCUUUUCUUCUGCUCCUACUCGCCCUCCCAUUCAGACUUCUUCACAGAAAUAUGCACCUUUAGACUGGUCACAUUAUUUUGAUCAAGAGGAUGACAUUCAGAUCCCAGAUUCAGAUGAUGUAUUUCAUGUUUAUAUGGCAGGGACAGAAGGGCCUGUUAUUUUUUGCCUGCAUGGUGGUGGUUAU
This 310-nucleotide unclassified non-coding RNA is filed under the name Hevea brasiliensis (rubber tree). Lineage: Eukaryota; Viridiplantae; Streptophyta; Magnoliopsida; Malpighiales; Euphorbiaceae. The record is from RNAcentral.